This 460-nucleotide ribosomal RNA is filed under the name uncultured bacterium. RNAcentral describes it as "partial 16S ribosomal RNA". It matches the Rfam family "Bacterial small subunit ribosomal RNA", at positions 338 to 795 of the family's 1533-position model. The record is from RNAcentral.
CCUACGGGUGGCAGCAGUGAGGAAUAUUGGUCAAUGGACGCAAGUCUGAACCAGCCAUGCCGCGUGCAGGAUGACGGCUCUAUGAGUUGUAAACUGCUUUUGUACGAGGGUAAACCCCGAUACGUGUAUCGGGUUGAAAGUAUCUUACGAAUAAGGAUCGGCUAACUCCGUGCCAGCAGCCGCGGUAAUACGGAGGAUCCGAGCGUUAUCCGGAUUUAUUGGGUUUAAAGGGUGCGUAGGCGGUUUGAUAAGUUAGAGGUGAAAGGUCGCGGCUCAACCCCGAAAGUGCCUCUAAUACUGUUUGACUAGAGAAUAGUUGCGGUAGGCGGAAUGUAUGGUGUAGCGGUGAAAUGCUUAGAGAUCAUACAGAACACCGAUUGCGAAGGCAGCUUACCAAACUAUAUCUGACGUUGAGGCACGAAAGCGUGGGUAGCAAACAGGAUUAGAUACCCGAGUAGUC